AGGAGGAGAGAGGAGAGGAAGGAGGAGAGGACUCCCUCUCUGGUUUCCUGGCCGUUUGGGAGGAGUCAGUUCCGGAGCAGAAAUCCUGCCCAGACCGACAAGCCCCGCCCACCAGUCUGGCUUUGUCACGACCAACGAAGAAGAAAAAACUGGUGGCUCCAGCUCUCAGUCUGUCUUUAGGU
This is a long non-coding RNA of Cyclopterus lumpus (lumpfish), 182 nucleotides long. RefSeq lists it as uncharacterized. The record is from RefSeq and is a predicted model, not a curated record. The transcript has 3 exons. Lineage: Eukaryota; Metazoa; Chordata; Actinopteri; Perciformes; Cyclopteridae.